UACGUAGGGGGGCAAGCGUUGUCCGGAAUCAUUGGGCGUAAAGAGCGUGUAGGCGGCCAGAUAAGUCCGCUGUGAAAUCUCGAGGCUCAACUUCGAGCUGUCGGUGGAAACUGUCUGGCUAGAGUCCGGAAGAGGAGAAUGGAAUUCCUGGUGUAGCGGUGAAAUGCGCAGAUAUCAGGAGGAACACCGGUGGCGAAGGCGGUCUCUGGGCAUGUCCUGACGCUGAGGAGCGAAAGUGUGGGGAGCGAACAGG
RNAcentral lists this ribosomal RNA (253 nucleotides) under uncultured bacterium. RNAcentral describes it as "partial 16S ribosomal RNA". It matches the Rfam family "Bacterial small subunit ribosomal RNA", at positions 524 to 776 of the family's 1533-position model. The record is from RNAcentral.